UUUAUCAAAAACAUGUCUCCUUGUAAUUAUUAUAGAUAGGGAGUCGAACCUGCCCGGUGAAUAUUUUUAACGGCCGCGGUAUCCUGACCGUGCGAAGGUAGCGUAAUUAUUUGCCUUAUAAUUGGAGGCUUGUAUGAAUGGUUUGACUUGAGUAGAUCUGUCUCUUUGUAGUUUUGUAGAAUUUGAUUUUUAGGUGAAGAAGCCUAGAUUAAAUUAAUAGACAAGAAGACCCUAUCGAGCUUUAAAUAAAUUGAUGGAUAAUAUUAAUAUUAUAACUUGUGUAUAUUAUAUUUUUAUUGUAUAAUGGACGCGCAUACCAAGAAGAGAUAAAAAAUAUUUACUGUUAAGAGUUUUUGGUUGGGGCGACUUGGGAACAAAUAAAGCUUCCUUAAUUUAUUAUACCUGCAUGUUUUGAUCCAAAUUUUAGGUUUUGAUUUAAGGAAUUAGUUACCGUAGGGAUAACAGCAUAAUCUCUUUUGAGAGUUCAUAUCGAAAAGGGGGUUUGUGACCUCGAUGUUGGACCAGAAUGUCCUGAAGGUGCAGAAGUCUUCAAGGGUUGGUCUGUUCGACCAUUAAAAUUCUACGUGAUCUGAGUUAAGACCGGCGUAAGCCAGGUCGGUUUCUAUCUUUAAUUUUUUUUGUAAGCUUAGUACGAAAGGACCAGCUUAUAGUAUUUGGAUGUUGUGGUUGAAUGAAUAUAAUUACUAAUAUUGUCAAAUUAGCAGAAUUAAAUGCAAUUGAUUUAGGAUCAAUAGAUAUAGGUGAAGGUCCUUUAUUUGAUAAUAAAGAUGGCAGAUUAGUGCAUUAGGUUU
This 812-nucleotide ribosomal RNA is filed under the name Scalptia bicolor. RNAcentral's name for it is "partial 16S ribosomal RNA". The stretch from base 1 to 654 matches the Rfam family "Bacterial large subunit ribosomal RNA", at positions 1803 to 2925 of the family's 2925-position model. Lineage: Eukaryota; Metazoa; Mollusca; Gastropoda; Neogastropoda; Cancellariidae. The record is from RNAcentral.